This 57-nucleotide transfer RNA is filed under the name Clostridioides difficile. Its description in RNAcentral is "tRNA-Asn". It matches the Rfam family "tRNA", at positions 8 to 63 of the family's 71-position model. Rfam says of the family: Transfer RNA (tRNA) molecules are approximately 80 nucleotides in length. The record is from RNAcentral. Lineage: Bacteria; Bacillati; Bacillota; Clostridia; Peptostreptococcales; Peptostreptococcaceae.
UAGCUCAACGGUGGAGCAACCGGCUGUUAACCCGAAGGUCGUAGGUUCAAGUCCUGC